UGGAAGUCUCACAUCUCCUGAUUUAAUGGAGCUGCUUUGCACUUUUUACACUGUUUAUUCACCAACACUUUAUUUAAUAAAAGUCCCAUCUAGUUUUUAUGAGGAAAGUGAUGUUUUAAUUUCUCUGUGAAUAACUGCAGUCUAAUGCAACAGCUGGAGUUGUAACAUCUGUCCUGAUAUUGAUCAUGAAGUAUUGAUCAGAAUACUUAUGGUCAGCAGUCAUCCCUGAAGUUUUACAUUAAAAUCUUUACUUGUGUUGUGAACUUUGGUAAGAAGCAGAAAUGUUAGCAUUGCCAUGGAUACAUGAGUAUUAAAUUCUGCAGUCCAGUUCCAGAAUGUGGAGGAAUUUAGUCUCACAAUCACAGACAACAAAUAUUAUCUGAAAGUCGGGCUAUUGUUGUUUAUCAGCACAAUACAAAAAGAUUGUUAGAAAUAUUCCAGUUAAGACUCUAGAAUAUCAUGAUUUAUGUAAAUUUACCUCAAUAAUAUGAAUGUUCAGGUUAAGAUUGUACAGUGAUAUUUAUUAUGUAAGUUUAGCUGAUUGAAGUUUAUGGCUCUGCACUACAAUAUUAUUUAAAUUGAUAUCAUUAUUAUAAUAUUUAGGGUCAGACCCUACAGUAUUGAGAUUAAGAAAUCAAAUAUUCUAUAAAAUGUAAAUACACUGAACUCAUUUGGAUAUAUUUAAGUGAGACUCUACAAUAUUAUUUGACACAAAUCUAUCUAAAUCAAAAUUUUAACCAUUUUUACUCCAAACAUUUACUGGACUGAUUUAAAUAUUAAAAUCACUCCUUUCUAAUCCUCUGCUGUACGUUCAAACCUGAGGCCUUAAAUAGAAACACACAAGUAUCUGUUUGAAGGAACUUCUGCAGAGUCCUGGUUCCAGAACAUGAUGAUAGAAUUAUAGACAAACUUUAACAAAAGCUGCCUGAGAGUUUACAGGUUUUUGUUAGAUUUCUUCAGUAAUUUAAUGAGAGUUAUCAGCAAAAAUCAAGUGUUCAUUUGAUGAACUUCAUUUCCUAAAACAUCCAGAAUUGGAGCUCAUAUCUUUGGCAGCUGUAAAGUUUCUGCUCCUUCAAAGUUUACAACACAAUGAAUUAAUUCCUAAAACACUCUCAAUGCUGGAGAGUGUUUGUGAUGCUGAAGCAGUGACCAGUUUUUCUGUUUCUUCUCUGGAGAUGCACAAUGAGGGACGUCUGCAGAGACUGAGAAAGAGUCUCACCACAUCCUUACAUGAGGAAAAAGACUUUAUUGAAGACUACAAUGAGAAAAACUAUCCAGACAGCAGACGGCUGCAUUCAAGUCUGUAGCUGCUGAAUUCAUGGAUGAAUCAUCUGGCACUAGAGAGGAAGACCAUCAAACAUCCAUGUCAGCUGAUGGAGGUCCAAGAGUCUCACCAAGCAAACAACCUACAGAGUGAAGACCUCAAAUCUGAUUGGACGGCCUCCUAUUCAGCCACAUUUUAGGCUGUUAGAUUGUUCCAGAUAAGACAAGUACAAGAUUCUUCAGAGCCGUUCUACCACGAUCCUGACAGGAAGAACUCCAACAGCUACUGAAUGUUCCUGUGGUCCCCUCAAGGCUACAGGAGGAGCCCUACGAGGACGAGCCGGUCCACCUGAUGGCGGCCAGUCGCUGCGGUUCAAAGCCAACACCGACUACGUGGACUUCUACUGGACCACACGGAGGCC
This is a long non-coding RNA of Amphiprion ocellaris (clown anemonefish), 1685 nucleotides long. The record is from Ensembl. Lineage: Eukaryota; Metazoa; Chordata; Actinopteri; Pomacentridae.